AAAGCGUUGUGCGACGCAUGCAUGCGUCCUACGCCUACUCUUCCGCCCCUCCCGCCUCUCGCGCCCACAUCGAGCUCUCUCUCUGCCCUCUAGCGAAGUUGCUGUACGUCACACGCACACUCACAGCCAAACGCGUGCUCGCAUCAUGAUCAUCCCAGUGCGUUGCUACUCGUGCGGUAAGGUGGUUGGCAACCUCUACGAGCAGUAUCAGCGGCUUUUGGAUCAGGACUACACGGAGGCCGAGGCGCUGGAUGCGCUGCAUCUGGAUCGCUACUGCUGCCGUCGCAUGAUCCUCUCCCAUAUUGAUCUGAUUGACGACCUCAUUCCUUAUAGUGUACCUGUGACGGGCACCAUGCAGAUGAUGGGGCCGCUGCAGAUGCCCACGCCGCACCGCCGCUGAGAAGCAUCACGCAUGCCACUCGUGCAGCUUCAACGCCUUGCUCGUCUCUCCUGCCUUUCAUUAGGCAGAGAGUGUGCCCUGUGUGUGCCGGUUCGCGCGCGUGUGUGUGUGUGGGCGGCGGCACCUCCCCCUCGUUUGUGGAUGUCGCUCGCUUUAUCUCUGCGCUACCCUUUUAAAAUUUUGCUUUCCCGCCUCUCUAACCGUGGCCGCGCGUGCAGAAGGCGGUGGGCGGCGGGCGGCGGGCACACUCGUGUAAUCCCUCUUGUUGUUUGUGCUUUCUAAGCCUCUGAGUGCGUAUGGCUGCGUGGAUAGGCGAGUGUAGCGAUGCGCGCCCAGUUGUUACCUUGUGCAUGUAUGCGCCCUCCUCCCUCUUUCUGUGUGAUCUCGCCCAACCCAAUGUGUGCAUGUGCGCCCUCGAGGGAUUCCACGCAACAGCGGUGCUGCAACGACCAUAGACACAUCUAUCCACCCUAGUUAUGGUGCUCCAGCGAGCAUACAUGCACGUGCACGGCCGGGCAUGCUCUUGCCUCCUCUCUCUGCGCCCGUGCGCCGCAGCUCUUGUCGCGCGCGUGUGGGUCCCUCCCUGAUCCACGCCAUGCCGCAUAUUCUUAUGCGCUUUCUCUCUCUUCCGCUCUUCACCAUCUUCGCAUGCUGCCACGGCCACCACAACGGCUACACUCCUGCACUGCCCCCCUCCCCCCACACACACGUCAUCAG
Molecule: unclassified non-coding RNA, 1117 nt
Filed under: Leishmania donovani
Lineage: Eukaryota; Euglenozoa; Kinetoplastea; Trypanosomatida; Trypanosomatidae
Description: gene:LdHU3.25.1680(CDS-product:RNA_polymerase_sub unit_RPB10_putative)
Source: RNAcentral